GAUGAACGCUAGCGGCAGGCCUAAUACAUGCAAGUCGAACGGGUGGUCGCAAGACCACUAGUGGCGCACGGGUGCGUAACGCGUAACCAACCUGCCCCGAUCUGGGGGAUAGCCCGCCGAAAGUCGGAUUAAUACCGCAUAUACCCGCAGCCUGGCAUCAGGCAACGGGGAAAGAUUUAUUGGAUCGGGAUGGGGUUGCGUGACAUUAGCUAGUUGGCGGGGUAAGGGCCCACCAAGGCGACGAUGUCUAGGGGACCUGAGAGGGUGAUCCCCCACACUGGCACUGAGAUACGGGCCAGACUCCGACGGGAGGCAGCAGUAGGGAAUAUUGGGCAAUGGGCGAGAGCCUGACCCAGCCAUGCCGCGUGCCGGAUGAAGGCCUUCUGGGUUGUAAACGGCUUUUCUCAGGGAAGAAAAAGACCUUGCGAGGUAAACUGACGGUACCUGAGGAAUAAGCACCGGCUAACUCCGUG
RNAcentral lists this ribosomal RNA (473 nucleotides) under uncultured bacterium. RNAcentral's name for it is "partial 16S ribosomal RNA". It matches the Rfam family "Bacterial small subunit ribosomal RNA", at positions 28 to 507 of the family's 1533-position model. The record is from RNAcentral.